UGGGGAAUAUUGCACAAUGGGCGAAAGCCUGAUGCAGCGACGCCGCGUGAGGGAUGACGGCCUUCGGGUUGUAAACCUCUUUCAGCAGGGAAGAAGCGAAAGUGACGGUACCUGCAGAAGAAGCGCCGGCUAACUACGUGCCAGCAGCCGCGGUAAUACGUAGGGCGCAAGCGUUGUCCGGAAUUAUUGGGCGUAAAGAGCUCGUAGGCGGUUAGUCGCGUCUGCUGUGAAAACUCGAGGCUCAACCUCGGGCUUGCAGUGGGUACGGGCUGACUAGAGUGCGGUAGGGGUGACUGGAAUUCCUGGUGUAGCGGUGGAAUGCGCAGAUAUCAGGAGGAACACCGAUGGCGAAGGCAGGUCACUGGGCCGCAAGCUGACGCUGAGGAGCGAAACGCAUGGGG
This 401-nucleotide ribosomal RNA is filed under the name uncultured bacterium. RNAcentral's name for it is "partial 16S ribosomal RNA". It matches the Rfam family "Bacterial small subunit ribosomal RNA", at positions 355 to 766 of the family's 1533-position model. The record is from RNAcentral.